GCGCUUAACCUUCCUUGAUUCAAAUCUAAUUCAUCUUGAUCAAAGAUCAAGUGAAUGACUUUGCAUUAAGGAUAGGUUUCUUCUUGGUCAAGCAAAAAACCUAAAUCAAUACAAGAUCAUCCUUCUUUUCUUUUGGCAUGGCAAGUUGUAGGAGCUUGGCUUACUAGUCAUGGUCUCUAACUUGUGUUUGUUAUUGGUCAAGCAAAAAACCUAAAUCAAUACAAGAUCAUCCUUCUUUUCUUUUGGCAUGGCAAGUUGUAGGAGCUUGGCUUACUAGUCAUGGUCUCUAACUUGU
Molecule: long non-coding RNA, 295 nt
Filed under: Lathyrus oleraceus (garden pea)
Lineage: Eukaryota; Viridiplantae; Streptophyta; Magnoliopsida; Fabales; Fabaceae
Description: Pisum sativum (pea) long non-coding RNA (PSAT_LNC027762)
Source: RNAcentral